AAGGAUCAUUACCGAGUGUUUGACUGUAAAAAGUCUACCUCCCACCCAAUUGUUUAUCUUACAAGUUGCUUCGGCGGGGCGUCUGCAUUAUUUAUUUAUAUUGCGGCCGUCGGCUAACGCGGACGAGUUCCCGCCGGAGGACCACAAACUCUAUUUUAAUGUCGUCUGAGCACAAUACAAAAAAGUUAAAAACUUUCAACAACGGAUCUCUUGGUUCUG
RNAcentral lists this unclassified non-coding RNA (219 nucleotides) under uncultured fungus. RNAcentral's name for it is "partial contains 18S rRNA, ITS1, 5.8S rRNA, ITS2 and 28S rRNA". Lineage: Eukaryota; Fungi. The record is from RNAcentral.